RNAcentral lists this transfer RNA (72 nucleotides) under Candidatus Moraniibacteriota bacterium. Its description in RNAcentral is "Candidatus Moranbacteria bacterium tRNA-Gly". It matches the Rfam family "tRNA". Rfam says of the family: Transfer RNA (tRNA) molecules are approximately 80 nucleotides in length. Their secondary structure includes four short double-helical elements and three loops (D, anti-codon, and T loops). Further hydrogen bonds mediate the characteristic L-shaped molecular structure. tRNAs have two regions of fundamental functional importance: the anti-codon, which is responsible for specific mRNA codon recognition, and the 3' end, to which the tRNAs corresponding amino acid is attached (by aminoacyl-tRNA synthetases). tRNAs cope with the degeneracy of the genetic code in two manners: having more than one tRNA (with a specific anti-codon) for a particular amino acid; and 'wobble' base-pairing, i.e. permitting non-standard base-pairing at the 3rd anti-codon position. Lineage: Bacteria; Candidatus Moraniibacteriota. The record is from RNAcentral. RNAcentral also lists the same sequence under 2 other names.
GCGGGUAUCGUAUAGCGGCUAUUAUGUAACCUUGCCAAGGUUAAGAUACGGGUUCGACUCCCGUUACCCGCU